RNAcentral lists this ribosomal RNA (496 nucleotides) under uncultured bacterium. RNAcentral's name for it is "bacterial SSU rRNA". It matches the Rfam family "Bacterial small subunit ribosomal RNA", at positions 15 to 518 of the family's 1533-position model. The record is from RNAcentral.
GAUCAUGGCUCAGGAUGAACGCUGGCGGCGUGCUUAACACAUGCAAGUCGAACGGAGCUUAGAAGGAAGCUUGCUUCAUUUAAGCUAGUGGCGGACGGGUGAGUAACGCGUGAGCAACCUGCCCUCGAGUGGGGAAUAACAUCGAGAAAUCGGUGCUAAUACCGCAUAAUGUCGAGAGACCGCAUGAUCUUUCGACCAAAGGAUUUAUUCGCUUGAGGAUGGGCUCGCGUCCGAUUAGCUAGUUGGUGAGGUAACGGCCCACCAAGGCUUCGAUCGGUAGCCGAACUGAGAGGUUGAUCGGCCACAUUGGGACUGAGACACGGCCCAGACUCCUACGGGAGGCAGCAGUGGGGAAUAUUGGGCAAUGGGCGAAAGCCUGACCCAGCAACGCCGCGUGAAGGAUGAAGGUCUUCGGAUUGUAAACUUCUUUGAUUGGGGAAGAAUAAAAUGACCUACCCAAAGAACAAGCCACGGCUAACUACGUGCCAGCCGCAGC